GAAAUAUCAAAAAUGGUUCUGUGAUCCGGAAUGAUCAACAAUUGUCUGAAAAUGAUGUGUGCAAUAUUUAAGCUUUCUAACACAGCAGUAAUUCAUAUCAGAAAUUCAUUUUCGGUACCAAGUGGUGACCUCAUCGAAAUAUACGUAUAUAUACAAAAAAGGAUGAUAAUGGGAUUUAAGUGACACAAUCAUAACCAGUAAGGCGAAUGCUGCAAGAGCUUUCAAGUUUUAGAGGUACAGGAUCCCCUAGGGGCAUUUUAGUAUAUGCGAAUGCCAUUUUAUACGGAAUGUA
Molecule: long non-coding RNA, 292 nt
Organism: Contarinia nasturtii (swede midge)
Lineage: Eukaryota; Metazoa; Arthropoda; Insecta; Diptera; Cecidomyiidae
Exons: 3
Source: RefSeq, a predicted model, not a curated record